CCUAGUCAAAGCUGUUGUGUUCCUCAGGCCCAGGAACCUGCCCCAGCUGCAGCACGUUGGAGCAGGCUGAGCACGGAGAGAUGGGGCAGAGCUGCAAGGAGACCUCACUGCAAACAGAGUACCCCAGGUUUGAUUUUGCAUGGAGUCUUGAGCAGGACAGAGCUGAAGCUGUUUGCUCUGUGCUUGGUGGUGCCCAGUCUGCAGGAGCAGGUUUAGUGCUACGCAUUCCGGAGGGUGGACCAGGGUCUGUAGGACAGCUUUGCUUCUGAGCCUGCUCGGCCAGGGGGGCUGUCCUGACCCUUAGCCAGGCUGCACGCUGCUCUGCACACGCUGAACUCAUGAGGCAGAGCUGCUCUGAGCAGAGCUGAUACCAGCAGUGUAACAGCUUUCUGCGGCGCUAACACGGGGAAGCAAAGCCAGGUUUCCUCCUCUGCCAGCCACUAGAUGCUAAUAAAGGAUUUCUUCUUUCCCCUUCUGUGAGAACAAGCCGAAGCCAGGAGUUUUCUUCACCCUGUCUUCCAAAGCAGUUUUAAUUCCUUGCUUUCAAGUGUGCUGAAGAUACAUUUUAUCUGCUCACACGUUUAUUUACAAAACUAAUGUAGCACGCCAGGAGUACAGCCUCCACAGCACGGAAAGCUGCAGAACUUGCUGGUACCUUGAGCAGAUCCUGAGCCCCUUGUAAGCAAAAUUCCCCCUUCCAAACAGAGGCUGCUCGUUGGACAGCCGGGUGCACGCCAUUCUCAGAGAAGCGCUGAGCACUGCUGGUUGAUUGCAGCCAGUGCCUGACCCUGAGCACUGGGCCGUGCUGCCAGGCCCCUCCUGGCUGCAGUCAGAGGGUGGGUGCUGUGUCCUGGAGCUCUGGGGUGUGCAGGCAGCAGCCCGGCUCCAGUGUGUUCUUCUGUCUGUGCUGCAGCAACCUUCUAAAGCUCUGAGCUUGAGCGUGGACUACUCCCAUUGAAACAGAUGGCACCGUUGGAGAGAGGACUGUGCGUGAAAACACUUCCAGGAUGGGGGGAUAAUGGCCCUACUUUUUUGCAAAGCUGCGGAGGUCCUGGUGUAUUGCAGGGGGCUGCAGGAGCAGAUAGAUGUGCUCGGAGCAGCGAAUGAGUAGGGAGGUACGUGAGCAUCAAGGUAAAACCUUUGGGUGACUCGCAAAGUUCUCACGCUGAUGGAAUCUUUGUCACACCGCAGUGACCACAGGGCUGGGAGCUCCCCCGUGUGCUGCCCACUGCUGGGCAUCUCUGCCUUCCAGUUUUGUCCCAGUCACAGAAAGGUCAAUAAAAUGCUCGUUUCUUUUAAGAGCUGAGGGCUGGCGGGGCUGACAAACCCUGCGUCUUUCAGUGCUGCAGCAUAAUAAGGCUUCACCGGCUUCAAAGUGCUCUCACAAGUCUGGAUUUGUGGCUCUAGAAGUAAAAUGGGCACGAGUUAAUUACUUGCUAACGGCAGCUUAAUCUUUUCCCUCUUCGUUUCCUGACUUUUCUAAAUUGCUUUUUGGACAUGCCGUGGCUGUCCUGUGUCGGUCCAACUCCAUCCGUCUUUCAGAUGUCAAUGGAGUAGAUUCAGGGAUGUAUUUUAAAAAUUGGUCUUCUACAUCUGUCACGUGAGCAGACUCCAAGUCUGCUACAAUGAGACGGAAUGGUUCGAAUACAAAAUUCUGAAGAGUGAAGAAAGGGAUGGUGUUCGUUCAGUAAAAAUGCAAAGCUCUGCCCUGUGUCAGAGUCACAGCUUGGGUAGCAAUUGCCCUGACCACGGCUGCCUCAUUUAAAUCAUUAAAUGAAUACAUUAUUGACACAUUAUUUUUAUUCAAAAUGACAGCAUAAAGCAGUAUUUAUUUUACAGUGUCUAGCCAUGUCGUCGAAAGGGAAGGUGACAGGAGAUCUCAUUACAGGCUGUGCUGAACCCAAGCCCUGGAAGGGGCACGGCUGCUGCACCUCUUGGCUCCAGCACUUAUCGAACCGUCCGGAGCCAGCGUGGCUGCUGUGUAAGAACAAACCCAGCACAACCAGAUGGUCAGUGCUGCUUAAAGUACUUCUAAUUUUCCCGCUGGCUUUUCGGAGCCUAAAUGCCGCUGAACGUACUGAGCAUUGCAGAGAUGGAGAAAACUUGCGAUGAAAGUAACUUGUGGAGAAAUGCUAAUAACGAUCAUUGAUUCAUAAAAGAGGUCCGGAGCUGAAAUCUCAGCUAUAGGCAAUGAUAAAUAAGAGGAAAAAGUAGUCAGGAGUGCUGAAACGGCUGUGGAGGGAGCUGUUAUCCACGGAUAAUGAUGUGAGAUUAAAUGGAAGAGCUUCUUGCUAUGGCUCUUUAGACUGGAUUUCUGCCAAAGUGGUGGAUCAAUUUCCAGGCUGACGUGGAAGCUCAGUGCCCUUGCCUUUACACCAGAUAACAGGAUUGAUUCAAGAAAAAUUCAGAAUACUUGAGUUGAAAUGCUUUGUUUAUGGCUUAAAAAUAUCUGUACAGAGCAAAGCAACAAGAGUUAACAGAAGAGAGUUAUGUAAAGAGUGUCUCCUUAAAGGCUUAACUUAAUGUACUUCAGAGCAAACUCCGAGCAGGAGAAAGUAGAUGGAAAACAAAUCUAAUUUUAAAAUAACAAAGAUAAACCAAUAAAGCUGAUCCUAUCAAGCCUCAUUUCAAUUGUGGCAUAAAAUGCAGAGCUUCUUAGCAGAUGUAGCUCUGAGCACAUGGAAAAAAACAACACAUUGAUUAAAUACACAAUCAGCACUGGAUCAGAUAGAAGUGGAAGUUCCAGUAACCUUCAAGAAAUCAUACUUGGGGCACUACGCAGUGCUUUGCUGAAAGAAACAAGAGGGCAGAACUCGAGUUCACCUCUGGAGCGCAGCCGGUCUGGACACUGGGAAGCACUGGUUUUUAUGUGUAGGUGAUGGAGCGCUGGCAUGGAGGGGCUGUGGGAUCUCCUCCUUGGGGAUCUCCAUGCCCACCUGUGUGUGGGGCUGGGCACAGCUCUUAAUGGAUGCUGGGUUGGAGUGGGGGGCGGAGGGACCCAGAGGGCUCUGCCAGCCUCAGCUGUCCCACCACUGUCCCACCAGCUGCAGUGGCAGGCAAGGAGCAUCUCCUUUGCCUAUAUCUGGUGCUUCCCUGCAGGUUCAGGAGAAGCAGUACGUCCUAUUAAGGUGGAAACUGCGUGAAACAAGAAGUCUCACACGGAGCUUCGUUCAGCUUCCAGCUAUGAA
Molecule: long non-coding RNA, 3188 nt
Organism: Numida meleagris (helmeted guineafowl)
Lineage: Eukaryota; Metazoa; Chordata; Aves; Galliformes; Numididae
Exons: 3
Source: RefSeq, a predicted model, not a curated record